RNAcentral lists this long non-coding RNA (420 nucleotides) under Setaria italica (foxtail millet). RNAcentral's name for it is "long non-coding RNA (SITA_LNC003688)". The record is from RNAcentral. Lineage: Eukaryota; Viridiplantae; Streptophyta; Magnoliopsida; Poales; Poaceae.
GACAAUAAUCAUGUAGAACAUAUACGAAUACAGGUCAUCCAAAUGUCCCCCAUCUAUCUUAUUUCUUUGCCUGUGAUGCGCCAAAGGAAAUGUUUUACAAUACCUGGUAGUCUUGUCCUCCAGGCAUUCGCUUCGUGCGCUAGAAGAUCGAUGAAGAAGUUGUGCCGCAUUGUUAUAGCAUCCUGUAAGUAAGAUAAGUGCUUACUUCAAGUUAAGCUCGGAUUUAUCGUAUAUUGUAAAAUUACAAAGGAACGUACAACAAAGCAUAUUUACUCACUUUUUUGAUGUGCACGUUUCGAGGACUAUCCCACCAUGCCAUGUACUGUAGAAUAAGCCAUCCAUCUGAAAAUCUGUGGUACGAUGAAUCGUCAGCUAUAUAAAUAUACGAACAUAUCUUUUAAGAAAUAAAGGAUAUUGACA